This is a non-coding RNA of Picea glauca (white spruce), 46 nucleotides long. Lineage: Eukaryota; Viridiplantae; Streptophyta; Pinopsida; Pinales; Pinaceae. The record is from Rfam.
GUAACGGUUUCAUUAGAAACCACCUUUUUUGUAUUUGAAAUAUUAU